GAGUAAAGAUUUCGGUCGCUUUGGGGGGAGCUCGCUUACUAUCAGCUUGUUGGUAGGGUAAUGGCCUACCAAGGCUAUGACGGUUAGGGGGUGUGAGAGCAUGACCCCCAGCAUUGGCACUGAAACACUGGCCAAACACCUACGGGUGGCUGCAGUCGAGAAUCUUCCACAAUGGGGGAAACCCUGAUGGAGCGAUGCUGCGUGCGGGAUGAAGGCCUUCGGGUUGUAAACCGCUUUUGUAGGGGACGAAAUUUUUGACGGUACCCUUUCGAAUAAGAGGUUGCUAACUCUGUGCCAGCAGCAGCGGUAAUACAGAGACCUCAAGCGUUAUCCGGAUUUACUGGGCGUAAAGCGUCUGUAGGGGGUUUAUUAAGUUCCAAGUAAAAUUUCAAGGCUCAACUUUGAAUUCGCUUGGAAAACUAAUAAACUGGAGUCUAGCAGAGGUGCAUGGAACUUGUGGUGUAGGAGUGAAAUCCGUUGAUAUCACAAGGAACACCAAAGGCGAAGGCAUUGCACUGGGCUAGCACUGACCCUGAGAGACGAAAGCGUGGGGAGCAAAACGGAUUAGAUACCCGUGUAGUCCACGCCCUAAACGAUGAAUGCCAAAUGUUCGGGGAUUCGACCCCCUGGGUGUUACAGCUAACGCGUUAAGCAUUCCGCCUGGGAAGUACGGCCGCAAGGCUAAAACUCAAAGGAAUAGACGGGGAUCCGCACAAGCGGUGGAGCGUCUGGUUUAAUUCGACAGUAAGCGUGGUACCUCACCAGGGUUUGACAUCCCUUGACAGCCUUGGAAACAAGGUUUCCUUCGGGCAAGGUGACAGGUGCUGCAUGGUCGUCGUCAGUUCGUGCCGUGAGGUGUUCCGUUAAGUCGGGAAACGAACGAAACCCCUAUUGCAUGUUACAAUUUCUCAUGCAAGACUGCCCGGAUAUACUGGGAGGAAGGUGGGGAUGACGUCAGAUCUGCAUGGUCCUUAUACCCUGGGCGACACAGGCGCUACAAUGGCAGAGACAAAGGGUUGCAAAACCG
RNAcentral lists this ribosomal RNA (1027 nucleotides) under uncultured organism. RNAcentral's name for it is "bacterial SSU rRNA". It matches the Rfam family "Bacterial small subunit ribosomal RNA", at positions 199 to 1257 of the family's 1533-position model. The record is from RNAcentral.